This 160-nucleotide small nuclear RNA is filed under the name Podarcis muralis (Common wall lizard). RNAcentral's name for it is "U4 spliceosomal RNA (ENSPMRG00000001010.1)". The stretch from base 1 to 138 matches the Rfam family "U4 spliceosomal RNA". Rfam says of the family: U4 small nuclear RNA (U4 snRNA) is a component of the major U2-dependent spliceosome. The structure of U4 snRNA from yeast and human has been reported. U4 snRNA presents a k-turn RNA motif in the 5p-SL related to recognition of Snu13 protein. The record is from RNAcentral. Lineage: Eukaryota; Metazoa; Chordata; Lepidosauria; Squamata; Lacertidae.
AGCUUUGUGCAACGGCUGCAUCGUAGCCAAAGAGGUUAAUCUCAGGCGCGGUUACUGCUAAUUGAAAAUUUGUUUUAUAUGAUUUAUGCUGUACUUGUGAUGUUCUAUUAUGUUCUUAUUAUUUAUUGUUUGUAAACUGCGUUGGGAUUCAUUUGAAUGA